Molecule: long non-coding RNA, 751 nt
Filed under: Salvia miltiorrhiza (redroot sage)
Lineage: Eukaryota; Viridiplantae; Streptophyta; Magnoliopsida; Lamiales; Lamiaceae
Description: long non-coding RNA (SMIL_LNC005386)
Source: RNAcentral
UCUGUGUGAACCGGUUCCGUUUAGUGCAUAAACUUUGAGAAGAAAAAACUUGGAGCUUCGACACAAGUGAGACGGCGAAGUCUCCUCCGGUUUCUGCGAUUCUCCGUCCACUUCGUCCUCGAAAUUGUAGAAACUGUACUUAGGGAUGGCAAGAACUAAACCUAAUCGACAGGGUUAGAUGUGAUUUUGUUUAUCAUCUGCACUGUUCUUUUUAUUUUUGUGAGAUUCGUUUUCGGUGUUCUUGAUAACACUUUUCGAUGUGUUCUUAUAGUUGUGAUAAAAUGAAUUAAUGUAUAUUGGGUACUAAACUUUUUUGGUUGUACUGUUUUUUUGUUUUCAGAUCCGGUAGUAGCAAUAUGCAUCGGUAGGCUUAUACUUUAUAAAGUAUAUUAUUUUUCAACGUUGAGUGCUCGUUGACCAACGAUUUGCACGUGUGUUUGUUAUGCCAGCAAUUUGUCAUUUUUAGCACAUGUGUGAUUGCUGGAUUUUGUUGGUUUUGCAUAGAAAUAUUUUGUUAAUCGACAAUUUGGUUUAAAAAAAUUAAAGCUUAUUCGAAAUCAUUUGUUUAAGAUCUUUUAAUAAUUGGCGAUUCAUAACUUACUGGAAUUCAUUUGUUUGAGAUAUUUGAUUUAUCGACGAUUCAUUUGCUUAUUGGAAUUCAUUUGUUUGAGAUCCUUGAGUAUUUUUCUAUUUUUGAAAUAUGGUUGGCGUUCAUACGUAUACAGGGAAUGGUAAAGAUAAGGAAAAGGGG